GAAAUGCGAUACGUAAUGUGAAUUGCAGAAUUCAGUGAAUCAUCGAAUCUUUGAACGCAUAUUGCGCUCUUUGGUAUUCCGAAGAGCAUGCUUGUUUGAGUAUCAGUAAACACCUCAAAGCCUUCAAUUCAGUUUGGAAGCUUUGGACUUGAGCAAUCCCAACACCAGUCUCGCGACUGGCGGAGGGCUGCUUGAAAUGCAGGUGCAGCUGGACAUUCUCCUGAGCUAUAAGCAUAUUUAUUUAGUCCCGUCAAACGGAUUAUUACUUUUGCUGCAGCUAACAUAAAGGGAGUCUGACCGCAUUGGCUGACUGAUGCAGGAUUUCACAAGGGCUGGCAACAGCUUUCUUGUAAAACUCGAUCUCAAAUCAAGUAAGACUACCCGCUGAACUUAA
Molecule: unclassified non-coding RNA, 394 nt
Filed under: uncultured fungus
Lineage: Eukaryota; Fungi
Description: sequence contains ITS1
Rfam family: 5.8S ribosomal RNA (bases 1-105)
Source: RNAcentral